RNAcentral lists this long non-coding RNA (1160 nucleotides) under Chloebia gouldiae (Gouldian finch). RNAcentral's name for it is "Erythrura gouldiae (Gouldian finch) lncRNA (ENSEGOG00005004188.1)". Lineage: Eukaryota; Metazoa; Chordata; Aves; Passeriformes; Passeridae. The record is from RNAcentral.
UCCCAUCCUGGACUGCCCCACCCCACAGACACACCAGGACAAUGCACAGCCACCCACAGCAGAGGCUCUCACCCCACACCCCCUUGCACCAGAGGAGCUCAGCCAUGCAGGGAGGGGUGCAAUGGCACAGCUCAGCUUCCUCCGAAGCAGAACCCACAUCUGGACAGCUGUGCCCAAAAGGGAGUCUGAGGCUACAUGGACAUGGAGGAUUUUCUGAAAUCUCACUCAAGUGAAGCUCCACCAGCACCAGCAUUACUAAUCCUGCUUGAGCAAAGUUAUGCAAAAAUAUGGUACAAAUAUGAACAGGAACCAAAGCAUACUCUGCUUUAUGAAACCAAUGUUUUUUAUUAGGUAUUCCUGGUGGGAAAAGGGAUAAAAGCUGUAGGGGACAAAAAGUUGUCAAUGAAACUUAUUAGACUAAUGAAUCCAAGUUUAACCUCUGUAUAAACCAGCUGGAGUGAAGAAUGCCACUCUCUGUCUACUCUAGGCAGCCAAGUAGAAGGAAAAACCUUAGAAAAAGGUAAAAGCUGAAGAAGGCUGUCCCUAUACCAACAGAGAUAGUGUGGAGAGGCAUUUUGAAUGGAGAAGCUGCUCCCACAAAGUGCCAAACGUCCACAACCUGGAUGAGCCACAAGCUGGGAAAACAGUGGAAAGCUUCCUGAUUUAUUGGUGUGCUGGAAGACAGGGCAGGGAGCCAACUGAUGGAAGUGUAGUUGAAUGAAAGAUUGAAUCCUCACAUGUACACCAGUUAUUUAUUUUUCAAGGUUGGGAUUGAAGGUAUUUGAGAUGGCAUUUUAUGUUUGGACUUAGGUGUUUAUUAUUUUUUAUUUAUGUUACAGUCUCACUAUCGUGAGUUUGGUAGUUUUUUCAUUAGUAAGGUACAAAAUAGUUAAUUAACUUUUGUUACAAGGUUUUUUAAAACUAAACUAUUUAAUUAAGAAAGGACACCUAGAUUAUUUUUCCUUUUAACCCAAUAACUGAUACCCCAAUAUUUUUUUCUGUCUAAUCACAAAACAUCACUUAAACUCAUGAAGAAGAAGGAAGAAGGUAAAGAAGAACAACUUGUUUCUGCUUUAAAACUUCUAUUUUGCUUCAUAUUUAUUUUAAUAUUUUAAAAUAUUAAACUCUAAGUUUUCUGCUUGGUCAUAUUACACACUUCU